UACGUAGGGCGCAAGCGUUGUCCGGAAUUAUUGGGCGUAAAGAGCUCGUAGGCGGUUUGUCGCGUCUGCUGUGAAAACCUGAGGCUCAACCUCGGGCUUGCAGUGGGUACGGGCAGACUAGAGUGCGGUAGGGGUGACUGGAAUUCCUGGUGUAGCGGUGGAAUGCGCAGAUAUCAGGAGGAACACCGAUGGCGAAGGCAGGUCUCUGGGCAUUAACUGACGCUGAGGAGCGAAAGCAUGGGGAGCGAACAGG
This 253-nucleotide ribosomal RNA is filed under the name uncultured bacterium. RNAcentral describes it as "partial 16S ribosomal RNA". It matches the Rfam family "Bacterial small subunit ribosomal RNA", at positions 524 to 776 of the family's 1533-position model. The record is from RNAcentral.